Molecule: ribosomal RNA, 190 nt
Filed under: uncultured bacterium
Lineage: Bacteria
Description: partial 16S ribosomal RNA
Rfam family: Bacterial small subunit ribosomal RNA
Source: RNAcentral
CCCGACUACAUGAAGCUGGAAUCGCUAGUAAUCGCGAAUCAGAAUGUCGCGGUGAAUACGUUCCCGGGUCUUGUACACACCGCCCGUCACACCAUGGGAGUUGGAAAUGCCCGAAGCCGGUGACCGAACCUUAGGGACGGAGCCGUCGAAGGUGGAGCCAAUGACUGGGGUGAAGUCGUAACAAGGUAAC